UGCUUGAAAGCUCCAAUCCUCUUAGACAGGGUGGCUAUCUCACUCUUCAAUCCUAAUAGCUCAGUCCGCACUAAAGAAGAGGUUUGAGAUAGGUUUGCUUGAGGUGCCACUUGGUGCUCCUUCUCUAUCCUCAAGCCAUCCAAAACAAGCUUUGCAAUCCUUUUCAACUGAUCAUUGUCCAACAGCAUGGAGGAGGACUGAGUUGGUUGAGAUGCUCUGAUAGGUGUCACUGGAGGUGUGGGUGCUGCUAUUGAGGAUGUUUGUGCCUCUACUACUAAUGGAGGAGA
Molecule: long non-coding RNA, 287 nt
Filed under: Elaeis guineensis (African oil palm)
Lineage: Eukaryota; Viridiplantae; Streptophyta; Magnoliopsida; Arecales; Arecaceae
Description: long non-coding RNA (EGUI_LNC062271)
Source: RNAcentral